Molecule: ribosomal RNA, 492 nt
Filed under: uncultured bacterium
Lineage: Bacteria
Description: partial 16S ribosomal RNA
Rfam family: Bacterial small subunit ribosomal RNA
Source: RNAcentral
AGUGAACGCUGGCGGUAGGCCUAACACAUGCAAGUCGAACGGCAGCACAGUAAGAGCUUGCUCUUACGGGUGGCGAGUGGCGGACGGGUGAGGAAUACAUCGGAAUCUACUUUUUCGUGGGGGAUAACGUAGGGAAACUUACGCUAAUACCGCAUACGACCUACGGGUGAAAGCAGGGGAUCUUCGGACCUUGCGCGAUUGAAUGAGCCGACGUCGGAUUAGCUAGUUGGCGGGGUAAAGGCCCACCAAGGCGACGAUCCGUAGCUGGUCUGAGAGGAUGAUCGGCCACACUGGAACUGAGACACGGUCCAGGCGCCUGCGGGAGGCAGCAGUGGGGAAUGUUGGACAAUGGGCGCAAGCCUGAUCCAGCCAUACCGCGUGGGUGAAAAAGGCCUUCGGGUUGUAAAGCCCUUUUGUUGGGAAAGAAAAGCAGCAGGUUAAGACCCCGCUGUUCUGACGGUACCCAAAGAAGAAGCACCGGCUAACUUCGUG